Molecule: ribosomal RNA, 471 nt
Filed under: uncultured bacterium
Lineage: Bacteria
Description: partial 16S ribosomal RNA
Rfam family: Bacterial small subunit ribosomal RNA
Source: RNAcentral
GACGAACGCUGGCGGCGUGCUUAACACAUGCAAGUCGAACGUAAAGGCCCUGCUUGCAGGGUGCUCGAGUGGCGAACGGGUGAGUAACACGUGGGUGAUCUGCCCCUUACUUUGGGAUAAGCCUGGGAAACUGGGUCUAAUACUGGAUAGGACCAUGCUGUAGGUGGUGUGGUGGAAAGAUUUUUUCGGUAAGGGAUGAGCUCGCGGCCUAUCAGCUUGUUGGUGGGGUAAUGGCCUACCAAGGCGUCGACGGGUAGCCGGCCUGAGAGGGUGGACGGCCACAUUGGGACUGAGAUACGGCCCAGACUCCUACGGGAGGCAGCAGUGGGGAAUAUUGCACAAUGGGCGCAAGCCUGAUGCAGCGACGACGCGUGGGGGAUGACGGCCUUCGGGUUGUAAACUCCUUUCAGCCAUGACGAAGCCUCUUUUGGGGUGACGGUAGUGGUAGAAGAAGCACCGGCUAACUACGUG